UUAAGCGACUAAGCGUACACGGUGGAUGCCCUGGCAGUCAGAGGCGAUGAAGGACGUGCUAAUCUGCGAUAAGCGUCGGUGAGGUGAUAUGAACCGUUAUAACCGGCGAUUUCCGAAUGGGGAAACCCAGUGUGUUUCGACACACUAUCAUUAACUGAAUCCAUAGGUUAAUGAGGCGAACCGGGGGAACUGAAACAUCUAAGUACCCCGAGGAAAAGAAAUCAACCGAGAUUCCCCCAGUAGCGGCGAGCGAACGGGGAGGAGCCCAGAGCCUGAAUCAGUGUGUGUGUUAGUGGAAGCGUCUGGAAAGGCGCGCGAUACAGGGUGACAGCCCCGUACACAAAAAUGCACAUACUGUGAGCUCGAUGAGUAGGGCGGGACACGUGGUAUCCUGUCUGAAUAUGGGGGGACCAUCCUCCAAGGCUAAAUACUCCUGACUGACCGAUAGUGAACCAGUACCGUGAGGGAAAGGCGAAAAGAACCCCGGCGAGGGGAGUGAAAAAGAACCUGAAACCGUGUACGUACAAGCAGUGGGAGCCUCUUAAUGGGGUGACUGCGUACCUUUUGUAUAAUGGGUCAGCGACUUAUAUUCUGUAGCAAGGUUAACCGAAUAGGGGAGCCGAAGGGAAACCGAGUCUUAACUGGGCGUUAAGUUGCAGGGUAUAGACCCGAAACCCGGUGAUCUAGCCAUGGGCAGGUUGAAGGUUGGGUAACACUAACUGGAGGACCGAACCGACUAAUGUUGAAAAAUUAGCGGAUGACUUGUGGCUGGGGGUGAAAGGCCAAUCAAACCGGGAGAUAGCUGGUUCUCCCCGAAAGCUAUUUAGGUAGCGCCUCGUGAAUUCAUCUCCGGGGGUAGAGCACUGUUUCGGCAAGGGGGUCAUCCCGACUUACCAACCCGAUGCAAACUGCGAAUACCGGAGAAUGUUAUCACGGGAGACACACGGCGGGUGCUAACGUCCGUCGUGAAGAGGGAAACAACCCAGACCGCCAGCUAAGGUCCCAAAGUCAUGGUUAAGUGGGAAACGAUGUGGGAAGGCCCAGACAGCCAGGAUGUUGGCUUAGAAGCAGCCAUCAUUUAAAGAAAGCGUAAUAGCUCACUGGUCGAGUCGGCCUGCGCGGAAGAUGUAACGGGGCUAAACCAUGCACCGAAGCUGCGGCAGCGACACUAUGUGUUGUUGGGUAGGGGAGCGUUCUGUAAGCCUGUGAAGGUGGCCUGUGAGGGUUGCUGGAGGUAUCAGAAGUGCGAAUGCUGACAUAAGUAACGAUAAAGCGGGUGAAAAGCCCGCUCGCCGGAAGACCAAGGGUUCCUGUCCAACGUUAAUCGGGGCAGGGUGAGUCGACCCCUAAGGCGAGGCCGAAAGGCGUAGUCGAUGGGAAACAGGUUAAUAUUCCUGUACUUGGUGUUACUGCGAAGGGGGGACGGAGAAGGCUAUGUUGGCCGGGCGACGGUUGUCCCGGUUUAAGCGUGUAGGCUGGUUUUCCAGGCAAAUCCGGAAAACCAAGGCUGAGGCGUGAUGACGAGGCACUACGGUGCUGAAGCGACAAAUGCCCUGCUUCCAGGAAAAGCCUCUAAGCAUCAGGUAACAUCAAAUCGUACCCCAAACCGACACAGGUGGUCAGGUAGAGAAUACCAAGGCGCUUGAGAGAACUCGGGUGAAGGAACUAGGCAAAAUGGUGCCGUAACUUCGGGAGAAGGCACGCUGAUAUGUAGGUGAAGCGACUUGCUCGUGGAGCUGAAAUCAGUCGAAGAUACCAGCUGGCUGCAACUGUUUAUUAAAAACACAGCACUGUGCAAACACGAAAGUGGACGUAUACGGUGUGACGCCUGCCCGGUGCCGGAAGGUUAAUUGAUGGGGUUAGCGGCAACGCGAAGCUCUUGAUCGAAGCCCCGGUAAACGGCGGCCGUAACUAUAACGGUCCUAAGGUAGCGAAAUUCCUUGUCGGGUAAGUUCCGACCUGCACGAAUGGCGUAAUGAUGGCCAGGCUGUCUCCACCCGAGACUCAGUGAAAUUGAACUCGCUGUGAAGAUGCAGUGUACCCGCGGCAAGACGGAAAGACCCCGUGAACCUUUACUAUAGCUUGACACUGAACAUUGAGCCUUGAUGUGUAGGAUAGGUGGGAGGCUUUGAAGUGUGGACGCCAGUCUGCAUGGAGCCGACCUUGAAAUACCACCCUUUAAUGUUUGAUGUUCUAACGUGGGCCCCUUACCGGGGUUGCGGACAGUGUCUGGUGGGUAGUUUGACUGGGGCGGUCUCCUCCUAAAGAGUAACGGAGGAGCACGAAGGUUGGCUAAUCCUGGUCGGACAUCAGGAGGUUAGUGCAAUGGCAUAAGCCAGCUUGACUGCGAGCGUGACGGCGCGAGCAGGUGCGAAAGCAGGUCAUAGUGAUCCGGUGGUUCUGAAUGGAAGGGCCAUCGCUCAACGGAUAAAAGGUACUCCGGGGAUAACAGGCUGAUACCGCCCAAGAGUUCAUAUCGACGGCGGUGUUUGGCACCUCGAUGUCGGCUCAUCACAUCCUGGGGCUGAAGUAGGUCCCAAGGGUAUGGCUGUUCGCCAUUUAAAGUGGUACGCGAGCUGGGUUUAGAACGUCGUGAGACAGUUCGGUCCCUAUCUGCCGUGGGCGCUGGAGAACUGAGGGGGGCUGCUCCUAGUACGAGAGGACCGGAGUGGACGCAUCACUGGUGUUCGGGUUGUCAUGCCAAUGGCACUGCCCGGUAGCUAAAUGCGGAAGAGAUAAGUGCUGAAAGCAUCUAAGCACGAAACUUGCCCCGAGAUGAGUUCUCCCUGACUCCUUGAGGGUCCUGAAGGAACGUUGAAGACGACGACGUUGAUAGGCCGGGUGUGUAAGCGCAGCGAUGCGUUGAGCUAACCGGUACUAAUGAACCGUGAGGCUUAACCUU
RNAcentral lists this ribosomal RNA (2902 nucleotides) under Escherichia coli UMEA 3152-1. RNAcentral's name for it is "bacterial LSU rRNA". It matches the Rfam family "Bacterial large subunit ribosomal RNA". Lineage: Bacteria; Pseudomonadati; Pseudomonadota; Gammaproteobacteria; Enterobacterales; Enterobacteriaceae. The record is from RNAcentral.